This 23-nucleotide non-coding RNA is filed under the name Arabidopsis thaliana (thale cress). Lineage: Eukaryota; Viridiplantae; Streptophyta; Magnoliopsida; Brassicales; Brassicaceae. The record is from RNAcentral.
AGGAAAUAGGAGUGGCACCGUGG